UGGUGGUCUGGAAAUUGUGUUCGAGAGUUGAGUCUAAAGUCCGUUUCCAUUUGCAGCUUCACUUAUCUUCUCCUUGUCUGCACGUGAGUGAAGAUCCAGAGAAGACAGUUGUCAGCUGAGCUAUUAACAAUGCAACCACAGCCACCCCCGUCAGGAAGAGAUCCCCCGCACUCUGGCACCCAACGUGGGGCCGGUCCAUCGCGACUGACGCCUCACCCCCGUGGGAUCCCGCUCCCACCACUCCGCCGUGCUCUUAAGGUAAGGACCCCCCGUUGAUCGGCCACC
Molecule: long non-coding RNA, 285 nt
Filed under: Dasypus novemcinctus (nine-banded armadillo)
Lineage: Eukaryota; Metazoa; Chordata; Mammalia; Cingulata; Dasypodidae
Description: lncRNA (ENSDNOG00000051223.1)
Source: RNAcentral